RNAcentral lists this ribosomal RNA (253 nucleotides) under uncultured bacterium. Its description in RNAcentral is "partial 16S ribosomal RNA". It matches the Rfam family "Bacterial small subunit ribosomal RNA", at positions 524 to 776 of the family's 1533-position model. The record is from RNAcentral.
UACAGAGGUCUCAAGCGUUGUUCGGAUUCAUUGGGCGUAAAGGGUGCGUAGGCUGCGGGGCAAGUCUGAUGUGAAAUCCUGGGGCUCAACCCCAGAACUGCAUUGGAUACUGCCUUGCUAGAGUACUGGAGAGGAGACUGGAAUUUACGGUGUAGCAGUGAAAUGCGUAGAGAUCGUAAGGAAGACCAGUGGCGAAGGCGAGUCUCUGGACAGUUACUGACGCUGAGGCACGAAGGCCAGGGGAGCAAACGGG